UAAUAUAAUUGACUAAGAUCUCGUAUAAUCCCGGGAAUAUGGCUCGGGAGUCUCUACCAGGCAACCGUAAAUUGCCUGACUACGAGCGGAAGCGCUCCUCAG
RNAcentral lists this non-coding RNA (102 nucleotides) under Dictyoglomus turgidum. Its description in RNAcentral is "Guanine sequence". It matches the Rfam family "Purine riboswitch aptamer". Rfam says of the family: Riboswitches are metabolite binding domains within certain messenger RNAs that serve as precision sensors for their corresponding targets. Allosteric rearrangement of mRNA structure is mediated by ligand binding, and this results in modulation of gene expression. Lineage: Bacteria; Pseudomonadati; Dictyoglomota; Dictyoglomia; Dictyoglomales; Dictyoglomaceae. RNAcentral also lists the same sequence under 1 other name. The record is from RNAcentral.